This 256-nucleotide small nuclear RNA is filed under the name Peromyscus maniculatus bairdii (prairie deer mouse). Its description in RNAcentral is "7SK RNA (ENSPEMG00000002380.2)". It matches the Rfam family "7SK RNA". From Rfam's summary of the family: 7SK was discovered as an abundant small nuclear RNA in the mid-70s but a possible function has only recently been suggested. Two independent studies have found that 7SK RNA binds the CDK9/cyclin T complex (known as elongation factor P-TEFb). P-TEFb activates transcription by phosphorylating the C-terminal domain of RNA polymerase II. Lineage: Eukaryota; Metazoa; Chordata; Mammalia; Rodentia; Cricetidae. The record is from Rfam by way of RNAcentral.
GGAUGUGAGGGCGAUCUGGCUGCGACAUCUGUCACCCCAUUGAUCGCCAGGGUUGAUUCGGCUGAUCUGGCUGGCUAGGCAGGUGUCCCCUUCCUCCCUCACCGCUCCAUGUGCGUCCCGGUCUUCAGUCAAGGGUAUACGAGUAGCUGCGCUCCCCUGCUAGAACCUCCAAACAAGCUCUCAAAGUUGUUCUAGAUUUAGCAACAUUCUCUCACAGCACCUUCUAUUUCGUCUUUGAGGUAGACAGCACUCUGGA